AGACGCAGAACUUAGCUCAUCAGUGAGCAUCGGUACAAACAGGAUUUGUUCACAGUGGCUAAGUUCAGUGUCUGACAUGA
Molecule: microRNA precursor, 80 nt
Organism: Poecilia formosa (Amazon molly)
Lineage: Eukaryota; Metazoa; Chordata; Actinopteri; Cyprinodontiformes; Poeciliidae
Source: Ensembl